This 429-nucleotide ribosomal RNA is filed under the name uncultured bacterium. RNAcentral describes it as "bacterial SSU rRNA". It matches the Rfam family "Bacterial small subunit ribosomal RNA", at positions 29 to 506 of the family's 1533-position model. The record is from RNAcentral.
ACGAACGCUGGCGGCAGGCUUAACACAUGCAAGUCGAACGCCCCGCAAGGGGAGUGGCAGACGGGUGAGUAACGCGUGGGAACAUACCCUUUCCUGCGGAAUAGCUCUGGGAAACUGGAAUUAAUACCGCAUACGCCCUACGGGGGAAAGAUUUAUCGGGGAAGGAUUGGCCCGCGUUGGAUUAGCUAGUUGGUGGGGUAAAGGCCUACCAAGGCGACGAUCCAUAGCUGGUCUGAGAGGAUGAUCAGCCACAUUGGGACUGAGACACGGCCCAAACUCCUACGGGAGGCAGCAGUGGGGAAUAUUGGACAAUGGGCGCAAGCCUGAUCCAGCCAUGCCGCGUGAGUGAUGAAGGCCUUAGGGUUGUAAAGCUCUUUCACCGGAGAAGAUAAUGACGGUAUCCGGAGAAGAAGCCCCGGCUAACUUCGU